This 526-nucleotide ribosomal RNA is filed under the name uncultured eukaryote. Its description in RNAcentral is "SSU rRNA". It matches the Rfam family "Eukaryotic small subunit ribosomal RNA", at positions 75 to 604 of the family's 1831-position model. The record is from RNAcentral.
UAUACAGCGAAACUGCGAAUGGCUCAUUAUAUAAGUUAUCGUUUAUUUGAUAGUGCCUUACUACUUGGAUAACCGUGGUAAUUCUAGAGCUAAUACAUGCUAAAAACCCCGACUUCGGAAGGGGUGUAUUUAUUAGAUACAAAACCAAUGCCCUUCGGGGCUCUUUGGUGAUUCAUGAUAACUAUACGAAUCGCACGGCCUUGCGCCGGCGAUGGUUCAUUCAAAUUUCUUCCCUAUCAACUUUCGAUGUUUGGGUAUUGGCCAAACAUGGUUGCAACGGGUAACGGAGGGUUAGGGCUCGACCCCGGAGAAGGAGCCUGAGAAACGGCUACUACAUCCAAGGAAGGCAGCAGGCGCGCAAAUUACCCAAUCCCGACUCGGGGAGGUAGUGACAAUAAAUACUGAUACAGGGCCCUUUCGGGCCUUGUAAUUGGAAUGAGUACAAUUUAAAUCCCUUAACGAGGAACAAUUGGAGGGCAAGUCUGGUGCCAGCAGCCGCGGUAAUUCCAGCUCCAAUAGCGUAUAC